Molecule: long non-coding RNA, 106 nt
Organism: Xiphophorus hellerii (green swordtail)
Lineage: Eukaryota; Metazoa; Chordata; Actinopteri; Cyprinodontiformes; Poeciliidae
Exons: 3
Source: RefSeq, a predicted model, not a curated record
GGCGAAUUGCAGGAGAUCCUGGGCAUGUUCCACCUGGGGUCUGAGGAGGCCGAGGAAGAGCCGCUCCAACGUCUUCAUCAGGUGUUAAGUAACCUGAUGAAGGUUU